This 200-nucleotide unclassified non-coding RNA is filed under the name soil metagenome. Its description in RNAcentral is "partial contains 5.8S ribosomal RNA, internal transcribed spacer 2, and large subunit ribosomal RNA". The record is from RNAcentral.
AAGACUAUAGACCUGCGGAGUACCUGCGGAAGGAUCAUUAAAAAAGGGUCUUUUUUGACCCAUUUUUUAAAAACCUACUACCAAUUCUUACCCAUCGGGUCAGAUGGAAGUGGGUUUUUUUCAAACUCCAAAAUUUUUAACUAUUCGUCUUGAUGACGAAAUUCAAAAUUAAUAAAUAAAACUUUCAGCAAUGGAUCUCU